Molecule: transfer RNA, 67 nt
Filed under: Echyridella menziesii
Lineage: Eukaryota; Metazoa; Mollusca; Bivalvia; Unionida; Hyriidae
Description: tRNA-Val
Source: RNAcentral
AUAGAAGUAGUAUAAAUACACCAAUACAUUUUGCUUACACCGAAAAAUUGAUAACAAUCCUUCUUGA